This 1151-nucleotide ribosomal RNA is filed under the name Rickettsia japonica. RNAcentral describes it as "partial 16S ribosomal RNA". It matches the Rfam family "Bacterial small subunit ribosomal RNA", at positions 372 to 1280 of the family's 1533-position model. Lineage: Bacteria; Pseudomonadati; Pseudomonadota; Alphaproteobacteria; Rickettsiales; Rickettsiaceae. The record is from RNAcentral.
GGGGGGAAAACCUCUUUAUCCCCCAAAAUCCGGGAGUGAGGUGAAAGAAGCCCUGUAGGGUUAAAAAUCUUUUUUUCAGCAAAGAAAGAAAACGACUUUAUCUGACAGAAAAAACCCCCCGGUUUAUCUUCCGUCCCCAACCACCCGCUGUUAAGAGGGGAGGGGUCUAGCUUUUGUUGAGAAUUUUGGGGGGCGUAAAAGAGGUGUGUAGGGCGGUUUUAGUAAGUUGGGAAGUGAAACCCCGGGGUCUUAUCCUUGGGAAUCUCUUUGAAAACGUAUUUAUUUUAGAGCGUAGUAGGGGAUGAGGGAAUUUCCUUAGUAUAGAGGUGAAAUUGUUUAUAUAUUAGGAGGCACCCCGGGUGGAGAAGGCGAUCAUGUGGGCUACAUCUGACUGUGAUGCGAGAGAGCGUGGAGAGCACACAGGUUUAGAUCCCGUGAUAGUCCACGCUGUAAGCGAUGAGUGAUAUAUAUGGGAAGAUUUUCUUUGGGUGGCGCAGCUAACGCAUUAAGCUCUCCGCCUGGGGAGUACGGUCGCAAGAUUAAAACUCAAAGGAAUUGACGGGGGCUCGCACAAGCGGUGGAGCAUGCGGUUUAAUUCGAUGUUACGCGAAAAACCUUACCAGCCUUUGACAUGGUGGUCGCGGAUCGCGAAGAUGCUUUUUUUCAGUUGGGGUGGAUCACACACAGGUGUUGCGCGUCUGUCGUCAGCUUGUGUCGAGAGAUGUUGGGUUAAGUCCCGCAGCGAGCGCACCCCUCAUUUUUAUUCGCCAGCGGGUAAUGGCGGGAAUAUAAGAAACCUGCCGGUGAUAAGCCGGAGGAAGGUGGGGCCUCAUGUCUCAGAAUGAUCAUCCUGGCUCAGAACGAACCACGUUGCCGGUGAAGCAACAGUGCGCAUAGCGAACACUGGUUGUGCGAGACGCGGCUUUACAGUUGCUUUGGCAGCAUGUGCGAAUGGAGACAAGCUACCAGCGUUUGUGAUUUUAAAGGAACCGAGCGGCAAGAUACCAGCGAAGGCAUUCAUGAAACUUCGCAUUCCAGGUAAGUGUCAAACAAAUUACUCCUGGCUCAGAUCGAACGCAUGAGCACAUGCAGAGAACUCCAGGACGACAUCGCAUCGAUACACGUCCGGCUGAUCAAGUUCAGCUCCCCCC